Non-coding RNA from Lonchura striata (white-rumped munia), 726 nucleotides. The record is from RefSeq and is a predicted model, not a curated record. NCBI's taxonomy places the organism in Eukaryota, Metazoa, Chordata, Aves, Passeriformes, Estrildidae.
GCUUGUCCGACAGCUGCGCUGAACUUUGUUAAACAGCAGCAGCGGGGUUUUUCCUUUUCUACGCCUCCUAACAUCUUCACAACACUUGAGACAGCUGUUCAAUAUACGUGUCUCGGCCGAAAAGAAGAGCUAGAAAAGAAGAUACAAUAUUCUUCCUUCAAGACAGCCAGGGUCAACCCCUACACUUGUUUACUCGGGGGCUUUUCUACACCCUCCCACUCGCAGCCACCAGCCACGGUCAGGCUGCUCGCCCAGGCGCUCGCAAGAGCCACUGCACAGAUUUAAAGGCUGCUUUUGAAAACAUGUCCAGCAAGACUGACCUGGGAUCUCCUCAGUAGGGCCAGGCAAAGCUCUUGCAAGCUACAGACACGAGCAGCAGGCUGACACCUGUUAAAAGGUUUGGACUUCUGUGAUGUUCUUGACAUCAACCUGCAAAAUGGCCACAGCUUGGAGGACACCUGCCCUUUUGCCAUCAGCCAUUCGUGUUAAACCAGUGCAGCACCAAUGGGGAGCUUUAGCUAAGAAGACACUGCUGGCAGCACUGAGAAUAGUGGAAGUCUUGUAACCACCAUCACACCCUCUGUCACCUGCGAGAAAUUAAAAUUUUAAGAAGGCUUUUCCUUUAAAACAAAUGCUCAUGAAUGUCACUGCUGCACCUUUGUGAUUUUAAAUUCAAGUUGUAAACAGUCACAGAAUAAAGUUGUGUGUUUUACACAGUUGCCACCA